Felis catus (domestic cat) is the source of this 85-nucleotide transfer RNA. It matches the Rfam family "tRNA". Rfam says of the family: Transfer RNA (tRNA) molecules are approximately 80 nucleotides in length. Their secondary structure includes four short double-helical elements and three loops (D, anti-codon, and T loops). Further hydrogen bonds mediate the characteristic L-shaped molecular structure. tRNAs have two regions of fundamental functional importance: the anti-codon, which is responsible for specific mRNA codon recognition, and the 3' end, to which the tRNAs corresponding amino acid is attached (by aminoacyl-tRNA synthetases). tRNAs cope with the degeneracy of the genetic code in two manners: having more than one tRNA (with a specific anti-codon) for a particular amino acid; and 'wobble' base-pairing, i.e. permitting non-standard base-pairing at the 3rd anti-codon position. The record is from Rfam. NCBI's taxonomy places the organism in Eukaryota, Metazoa, Chordata, Mammalia, Carnivora, Felidae.
GCCUGGGUGGCUCAGUCGGUUGAGAGUCCGACUUCGGCUCAGGUCAUGAUCCCAUGGUUUGUGGGUUCGAACCCCACAUCGGGCU